GUGAGUCAUCGAAUCUUUGAACGCACAUUGCGCCCUUUGGUAUUCCGAAGGGCAUGCCUGUUCGAGCGUCAUUUAAACUCUCAAGCCAAGCUUGGUAUUGGGAGCUGCCCGCACGGGCAGUCCCGCAACACGUUGAGCGUGACGCCGAGACUUCAGACGUAGCAAAACUUUCGUCUAGUUGCUCUCGGCGCCCCCGCCGGCCAACAAACCACUUCAAAGUUUGACCUCGGAUCAGGUAGGGAUACCCGCUGAACUUAAGCAUAUCAAUAAGCGGAGGA
Molecule: unclassified non-coding RNA, 278 nt
Filed under: Ascomycota sp.
Lineage: Eukaryota; Fungi; Ascomycota
Description: partial contains 5.8S ribosomal RNA, internal transcribed spacer 2, and large subunit ribosomal RNA
Rfam family: 5.8S ribosomal RNA (bases 1-71)
Source: RNAcentral